CCUACGGGAGGCAGCAGUGAGGAAUAUUGGUCAAUGGACGAGAGUCUGAACCAGCCAAGUAGCGUGAAGGAUGACUGCCCUAUGGGUUGUAAACUUCUUUUAUAUGGGAAUAAAACGUUCCACGUGUGGGAUUUUGUAUGUACCAUAUGAAUAAGGAUCGGCUAACUCCGUGCCAGCAGCCGCGGUAAUACGGAGGAUCCGAGCGUUAUCCGGAUUUAUUGGGUUUAAAGGGAGCGUAGGUGGAUUGUUAAGUCAGUUGUGAAAGUUUGCGGCUCAACCGUAAAAUUGCAGUUGAAACUGGCAGUCUUGAGUACAGUAGAGGUGGGCGGAAUUCGUGGUGUAGCGGUGAAAUGCUUAGAUAUCACGAAGAACUCCGAUUGCGAAGGCAGUUCACUGGACUGAAACUGACACUGAGGCGCGAAAGUGUGGGUAUCAAACAGGAUUAGAUACCCGGGUAGUC
Molecule: ribosomal RNA, 460 nt
Filed under: uncultured bacterium
Lineage: Bacteria
Description: partial 16S ribosomal RNA
Rfam family: Bacterial small subunit ribosomal RNA
Source: RNAcentral